Long non-coding RNA from Eupeodes corollae, 1615 nucleotides. RefSeq lists it as uncharacterized. The record is from RefSeq and is a predicted model, not a curated record. NCBI's taxonomy places the organism in Eukaryota, Metazoa, Arthropoda, Insecta, Diptera, Syrphidae. The transcript is spliced from 3 exons.
AAUGAAAAGCAGUUACAGUAAUAAUAAUAACAAAUAUUGAGAUAAUUAUGAAGAAAUAAUCAUUGCUAAGUAUAAUUAUGAUGUAAGUAGAAUGUCGAAAUGAAAGCAUGACAUUUCAGAUUUGUUUUUCUAGCGAAUAAGAGGAUGGUGCCUUAAUCUUUUGGAAUAAAAAAAUUGAUUCACACGGUUUUUGACAUAAAAGUCUUAAUCACGUGAAGCACUGACUGUGAUAGACACUAUUUGAAGAUACCAAUCCGCUCUUGUUGACCUUUGCCUUUGUAACGUGAAGACAUUUUUUCAUUUACAUUUAAUGAAACCUUGUUGAAUACAUUAGUUCCGAGUGAUGUACAAGUAGUGUUUUACUACACGCAAUGUCAAGAAAAUCCAUAUCUGAACUAGAAGAAGAGGAGCGCAUUACAUGUCUUGCAUACAGCAAGGCAUUUCUAAGCCAACUCUUUAAACAAAUUAAAUUAAAAAAGUCUCCAGAACAAUCUUUAAAAUAUGAAAAAUCAUGGCUUUAGAAAGUGAUCGAGAUUCCUUUCCAUCGUAUUCCAGUGGCGAUUCCUCCGUGUGUUCCUGGAAAUGGGGAUCAGAUGGAAGUGGAGGGCACCCGCGAUAUAAAUCAAAAAUUUUUAGUAAAUCCAGGAGCGAGUGCUACCUAUUAGUGCUAACGUGCAAAGUUCCCUUAGAAUUAAAAAAAAAUAACUAGUAACGAUCAUAUAUGGACUAACUCAAGAACAUCUUCUCCGAGUAUGAAAAAGAAAAUAUUGAAACGAUAAAAACAGAGUUCAACCGAAUGGAAGAUGAAAUUAACAACCUUGAAACUUUUAAAACUUCAAGCAUAAUUUUUAAUGAUAAAACUGUUUUUGUAAAUCAUUCUUUUUUAAAAACAAUGGUAGGUGCAAUGCUCAGUUUGCUAUAUAUGCAAAGCUUCGCCUAAAGGUAUGAAUAAUCGUGAUCUUAUUCGUUUGGAUUGAAAACCCUUCAGGUGCAAAUACGAUUUAUGGAAGCUCUUUUACAAAAACUUACAAGCCAGAGGGUUUGAAGAAAAAUUGGCGGUUAAACAAAAGGAAGAACUUUUGCAUUCGCAUUGAGAACUGAGCUUGGAGUUUUCGUUUGUUUUCUAAACAAGGUAGAGGAAACGGCAAUGACAGCAACACAGCCCGAAAAAUUUUGAAAAAUCUAGCAAAAACCGCUUGAAUAAUAGGAUAGGAUACAGAGUUGGUUGAUUGUUUCGAAAUUAAAAUAUUCCUGGUAUUAUAAGUCCACAAGUGGUCACAAGAUGUUGUUGUAUGAAGCUGACAUAAUAGACAGUUUGCUAGUUCCCUAGAAAUAAUAAAUAUGUUCAUCAUUGCGAUCUCAACGGUGAAAAAGACUUUAUUCUGAUGAAUGUCCUGAAAUUAUAUUAGACCCGAAACAAAGAUUUAAAGUAGAUUUUUUUUCAAAAUACAGUAAGGUUAGCUUGAUACAUAUAACAUAAAUUUUUCAUUUUUAAGUAACAUAAGCGCACGUUUAAAAAAUAAAAAUGUACGUGCUUCGUGCCUUAAUUCACAAAAUGUUAUAACAUUAGGUCGUUUUAAAGAUUAAGAUGGAGAAGAAUUGUUUCAAGAGUUAA